AUAACUUUCAGCGACGGAUGUCUUGGUUUGAGCACUGAUGAAGAGCACAGUGAAAUGUGAUAAGUUCUGUGACUUGCAGAAUUCCGAGAGCCAGCAAAGUCUUGAUCGCGUUCUGUGCUUCUGGGAAAUGCCUGGAAGCAGGUUUGCUUUAGUGUCACUC
Molecule: ribosomal RNA, 160 nt
Filed under: Esoptrodinium sp. HP
Lineage: Eukaryota; Dinophyceae; Gymnodiniales; Tovelliaceae
Description: 5.8S ribosomal RNA
Rfam family: 5.8S ribosomal RNA
About the family: 5.8S ribosomal RNA (5.8S rRNA) is a component of the large subunit of the eukaryotic ribosome. It is transcribed by RNA polymerase I as part of the 45S precursor that also contains 18S and 28S rRNA.
Source: RNAcentral